CGCGAGAUUUUGCAAAGUGGAGUGAAAUUCAAAUCAGGUUUGGAGUUUGGCGAUUACGGUUUAUGGGAUUAAAGGAUGGCAUUCCUUUGGAAGAGAGGCUUCCAAUUUUCAUUUUGUACCUUUCCAGACGGACUGAAUUUUCUGAUCUUCCCCGUGGGUUCCUUAAUAUAUCAACGGCGGUUAUUAAGAUAUAUGCCCAGGAGUGGGAUUGCUGUAUCAUACAAAGAUGAACUCAAAAUGACUGAAAGACUUAAAUAUAAGACAUGAAACUAUAAAACUCCUAGAAGAGAACAUAGGCAAAAAAUGCUCUGACAUAAUCAUAACAACGUUUUCUUAGAUCAGUCUCUCAAGAGAAAAGAAAUAAAAGCAAAAAUAAACAAAUGGGGCUUACUCGAAUUUAUAAGCUCUUGCACAGCAAAGGAAACCAUGAACAAAAUGAAAAGACAACCUACAGGAUGGGAGAAAAUAUUUGCAAAUGAUGCAACCUACAAGGGCUUAAUAUCCAAAAUAUACAAACAGCUCAUACAGCUAAAUAUCAAAACAAACAACCAAUCAAAAUAUGGGCAGAAGACCUAAAUAGACAUUUCUCCAAAGACAUACAGAUGGCCAACAGGCACAUGAAAAGAUGCUCAACAUCCCUAAUUAUUAGAGAAAUACAAAUCAAAACUACGAUGAGGUAUCACCUCACACUGGUCAGGAUGGCCGUCCUCAAAAAGCCUACAAACAGUAAAUGCUGGAGAGGGUGUGGAGAAAAGGGAACCUUCCUGCACUGUUGGUGGGAAUGUACACUGGUGCAGCCAUUACGGAGAACGGUAUGGAGUUUCCUUAAAAAACUAAAAAUGGAAUUAGAGUUCUUACUUGCAAUGAAUAGGAACUGACUGGGGAUGACUUAAGUAGAAAUUUAUUUAACGAGAGGAUUUGGGGUAAGUAUCAGAAUUAAUAGCAAGGAUGAAGGACCACACUCGGAAGAGAACAUGGGGAAACAAAAGGAAGCUGGGGACACAUUACCAUCAUCAAAAUCACUCCAGACAACAGCUCAUCCUGGACCCCAAUGUCAUUCCUGCUGAAGCCUGGACCGACAGGUCACUUCACCCACUGACCCUGAACUUGAGGAUGCCGCCACCGCACAACUUCCGGUGCUGUCUCUGGAGACUGUGUUGUUUAAAAUUCUGCCACCUCCUGAGGAGUUGUCCCCAUCUAUGCUUUUUGUGUCCGUUUCUCUUGAUUCCCUGCAGUGCCAGUUUCUUUGUGUCCUCAGGUUUUGUUUCUACAUUUGUGUGUCUGGUUAGUUGAACCUAGAGCACAUGUCCAUGCUCUGUUUUCUACAAAGGCUGAGAAAUCGAGUAUGAAAUUUUUACCUUUCACUGUUAAUUAUGUCAAUUUCUCCGUGGAAGUUCUAGUAACGUACUGUCUCUCCUGUGUAUUUCUCUCAGGGACUUUGAAGCAUCGGUCCCACAUUUCCUAUCUCUCUUUAAUCACGACUCCCUGAGCCUUUUCUUUGUACCUUCUAUUACCUGCAUUACUGCCUAGUCCUUGAUUUUUAGGCAUUGAGGCUUCUCACAUGGAAAUAGUUCCUGAUUUCUCUCUUUUCUCUGAAACCUCAUGAAUUUUGAAAGCUGCUUCAAAUAUUUCGUUUUCUUUUUUUGAUUCAGGCAUAUUUUCUGCCAUAGUUCUCAUCCUUCAGUUUGUCCUUAAAAUUCUCCAAUUUUAAGGUUUCAUAACUGAAACCUUAGCAGUCAUGAAUGUAAUGAUUUCAUACCUCUUUAGCAAUAAAAUGAUUUCAAACCUGCAAAUGAAAUCUGCAGAAUGAAUAACUGCGGCUGGUCUGACUGGAGCCUGGGUAAGGGCCGGCUUUCUUUGCUAAGUACACCUUUUUUUCUCAUCUGUGCAGCCUCCCCUUGGCUGCCUGUACCAGUUGGAGUUUGGGGUUGCAAAGUAACAGACAGUGUAAUUUACUGGAAGGAUGUGAAGGCAGCUCAGAGAACUGAAGGGAAGGCUGAAGGUCCAGCUGGGAACCAGCAGCAACUCCGGAUCUCAGUAAGUGGAACCACUUGUUGGUUUUUAGGGCACUGCUGCUAAUUCUUUUUUCUGCCUUUGCUCAACAUUCAAAGUCCUAAAGCGAGUAAACUUUGACCACGUGCCCAUCCAUUGGUCAGGACACCAUGUUUUAUGGUUCCAACCUAUUACCAAACUAAACUUGGGUGCGCUCAGCCAAAGCACAGCAAAGCCAAUCUACCAACACCAGGUUGUAGUGAAGAAAAGUGCAGCAUUUAUUGUAAAGUGCCAAGCAUGGGGCAAAGCAAGGGAAACGUGCAGCUCAUGCUCAAAAGACCAGAACUCCCCAGUGGCUUUCAGAGAAGGGUUUUUAAAGACUGUGAGGGAGAGAGUCCCAGGGUGCAUGAUCAGCUUGUGCAGAAUUCUCUGAUUGGUUGAUGGUAAGGUAACAGGGUGAUGUUUCAGGAAUCUCCGUCAUCAACCUACUGGUUCCAACCAGUUUGGGGUCUACAUGCUGGUGGUCAGCAUGCAGUUAACUUCUUCCAUCUGGUUGGGGUUUUAGUAUCUAUAAAACGACUCAAGGAUAUGACUCAGGAUUUUAUCUAUAGCCAUUGAGGAAGAAUUAAAGGUUCUUGAUUUUGUUUUAUGGGUGAACUACUAUGAUAUUGUCUUGUUUGACUGUUUUCCUUUGUUUCUGCAUUUUUUUCACUUCUCUGAUUAAAUUUGCUCUUUGGAACUCUGGAAAGGCCUAGGAGGCUAAAGCUUUUUACAGACAAGAGGCAGGGGACAUGAGGAUGUCUGUGCCUGGGAAGGCCCUACAGGGUCCUGCUUGGUUUCAAACCCAACAGCACACAGUACUGGAGAGGUAAUUCUGGUCAACAUAAUAACUAUACAUUUGUGGUCUGUGAGACAGAUUAGGAAAUAAUCUAUAUUUAAAAGGUGCAAAAUCCAACUAGAUAAAGAGUUUAGUUACAGCCCCAGCACUGGGGGUAGAUGGGACUGUCAUGCAGAUUUUAAUUAGCUUCGAGCAAACAGAUUAGUUGCAACUCAGUGGGGUGGGAGAUAGUGUGAGUAUGAGAUGUCGUGCACCCAAAUUAGACAAUUAUAUUUAUGACAGGGGUUAUAGUAAGAAUUGUGUCAGAAGUUAGAGUAAAAAUAAAAUGUCUAAGAAGUAGCCAGAUGAAACCAUUUCUAGAUGAACAGGAUUGGCAUAUUAACAGGGAGCUCAGGUAGAUUAUUCUGGAAAUUGCCACUAGGUUCCAGGUCUCUGUCCAGAAUCUCUAACCACAGCCUGAAAUUUUUUGAGUAAAGAGAUGAUAAAAUGACUUAGCAACUCCAGGAAUAUGUAAAAAUAAGCAUGGAGAAAAUAAUGAUAAAAUCCUUGGAAUCAAUAUUUUUGUACCAGUUUGGAAUGUUAAGGGCAAAUCUAGGUGACCACAACUGCAGAAAAUAAAUGAAAAAGAAAAUGGGAAAUUUGAGCAGUGUAUAUAAUCAUCUGAAAAAUAUAGGUUGUCGUGUUUUUAAAUCUGACAUAUUAAACUUGUAAGUUCAAUUUGAAAA
Mesoplodon densirostris (Blainville's beaked whale) is the source of this 3555-nucleotide long non-coding RNA. RefSeq lists it as uncharacterized. Lineage: Eukaryota; Metazoa; Chordata; Mammalia; Artiodactyla; Ziphiidae. The record is from RefSeq and is a predicted model, not a curated record. The transcript is spliced from 3 exons.